UACGAAGGGUGCAAACGUUGCUCGGAAUUAUUGGGCGUAAAGCGCACGUAGGCGGCAUUGCAAGUCGGAUGUGAAAUCCCUCGGCUUAACCAAGGAAGUGCAUCCGAAACUGCAGUGCUUGAGUACUUAAGAGGAUCGCGGAAUUCCCGGUGUAGAGGUGAAAUUCGUAGAUAUCGGGAGGAACACCAGUGGCGAAGGCAGCGAUCUGGGAAGAUACUGACGCUGAGGUGCGAAAGCGUGGGGAGCGAACAGG
Molecule: ribosomal RNA, 253 nt
Filed under: uncultured bacterium
Lineage: Bacteria
Description: partial 16S ribosomal RNA
Rfam family: Bacterial small subunit ribosomal RNA
Source: RNAcentral